This 477-nucleotide ribosomal RNA is filed under the name uncultured bacterium. RNAcentral's name for it is "bacterial SSU rRNA". It matches the Rfam family "Bacterial small subunit ribosomal RNA", at positions 29 to 506 of the family's 1533-position model. The record is from RNAcentral.
GUUAACGCUGGCGGCGUGCCUAACACAUGCAAGUCGAGCGAAGAGUACCAGAGUACCGGGCUCUUAGCGGCAGACGGGUGAGUAACACGUAAACAAUCUGCCCUCGAAUGGGAGACAACCAAGCGAAAGUUUGGCUAAUACCCCAUACAAUCCUCUUGAGGCAUCUCAAGGGGAUGAAAGGCCCGCAAGGGUCGUUCGAGGAGGAGUUUGCGGCCUAUCAGCUAGUUGGCGGUGUAACAGACCACCAAGGCUAUGACGGGUAUCCGAUCUAAAAGGAUGAACGGACACAAGGGCACUGAGACACGGGCCCUACUCCUACGGGAGGCAGCAGUGGGGAAUUUUGGACAAUGGACGAAAGUCUGAUCCAGCGACGCCGCGUGAAGGACGAAGGUUUUCGGAUCGUAAACUUCUUUUGCAGGGGACGAAUACGCGCAAGCGUUUGACGGUACUCUGCGAAUAAGCCACGGCUAACUACGU